RNAcentral lists this ribosomal RNA (253 nucleotides) under uncultured bacterium. Its description in RNAcentral is "partial 16S ribosomal RNA". It matches the Rfam family "Bacterial small subunit ribosomal RNA", at positions 524 to 776 of the family's 1533-position model. The record is from RNAcentral.
UACGUAGGGUGCGAGCGUUAAUCGGAAUUACUGGGCGUAAAGCGUGCGCAGGCGGCUUUGCAAGACAGAUGUGAAAUCCCCGGGCUCAACCUGGGAACUGCAUUUGUGACUGCAAGGCUAGAGUACGGCAGAGGGGGAUGGAAUUCCGCGUGUAGCAGUGAAAUGCGUAGAUAUGCGGAGGAACACCAAUGGCGAAGGCAAUCCCCAGGGCCUGUACUGACGCUCAUGCACGAAAGCGUGGGGAGCAAACAGG